Molecule: ribosomal RNA, 450 nt
Filed under: uncultured bacterium
Lineage: Bacteria
Description: partial 16S ribosomal RNA
Rfam family: Bacterial small subunit ribosomal RNA
Source: RNAcentral
GUGGGGAAUUUUGGACAAUGGGCGCAAGCCUGAUCCAGCAAUGCCGCGUGCAGGAAGAAGGCCUUCGGGUUGUAAACUGCUUUUGUACGGAACGAAACGGUCCUGGUUAAUACCUGGGGCUAAUGACGGUACCGUAAGAAUAAGCACCGGCUAACUACGUGCCAGCAGCCGCGGUAAUACGUAGGGUGCGAGCGUUAAUCGGAAUUACUGGGCGUAAAGCGUGCGCAGGCGGUGCUGUAAGACAGGCGUGAAAUCCCCGGGCUCAACCGGGGAAUUGCGCUUGUGACUGCAGUGCUGGAGUACGGCAGAGGGGGAUGGAAUUCCGCGUGUAGCAGUGAAAUGCGUAGAUAUGCGGAGGAACACCGAUGGCGAAGGCAGUCCCCUGGGCCUGUACUGACGCUCAUGCACGAAAGCGUGGGGAGCAAACAGGAUUAGAUACCCGGGUAGUCC